CAUUUUGUUUGCGGGAGCUGAUGCUGAGAUUCCUAAAAGUAAACCGAUGGAUAUUGGAUCGAUACGGCGGUUGCGAUUGCGAUGUCUUUGUGUUUUACUUUUGGGGAAACCGCAGAACCUGAUCAUGAUAAUACAUGCGUGAGGAAAAACAAAAACGACCUUU
RNAcentral lists this non-coding RNA (163 nucleotides) under Nitzschia inconspicua. RNAcentral's name for it is "TPP riboswitch (THI element)". It matches the Rfam family "TPP riboswitch aptamer (THI element)". From Rfam's summary of the family: Vitamin B(1) in its active form thiamin pyrophosphate (TPP) is an essential coenzyme that is synthesised by coupling of pyrimidine and thiazole moieties in bacteria. The previously detected thiamin-regulatory element, thi box was extended, resulting in a new, highly conserved RNA secondary structure, the THI element, which is widely distributed in eubacteria and also occurs in some archaea. Lineage: Eukaryota; Bacillariophyta; Bacillariophyceae; Bacillariales; Bacillariaceae. The record is from RNAcentral.